GCCGGAAUAGCUCAGUUGGGAGAGCGUUAGACUGACUGACGCAACAAUCAUCUAAAGGCCCCCGGUUCGAUCCCGGGUUCCGGCA
This 85-nucleotide transfer RNA is filed under the name Dreissena polymorpha. It matches the Rfam family "tRNA". From Rfam's summary of the family: Transfer RNA (tRNA) molecules are approximately 80 nucleotides in length. The record is from Rfam by way of RNAcentral. Lineage: Eukaryota; Metazoa; Mollusca; Bivalvia; Myida; Dreissenidae.